UACGUAGGGGGCAAGCGUUGUCCGGAAUCAUUGGGCGUAAAGGGCGCGUAGGCGGAUAUUUAAGUCUGAUGUGAAAACCUAGGGCUCAACCCUGGGACUGCAUCGGAAACUGGAUAUCUUGAGGACAGGAGAGGAAAGUGGAAUUCCACGUGUAGCGGUGAAAUGCGUAGAUAUGUGGAGGAACACCAGUGGCGAAGGCGACUUUCUGGACUGUAACUGACGCUGAGGCGCGAAAGCGUGGGGAGCAAACAGG
RNAcentral lists this ribosomal RNA (253 nucleotides) under uncultured bacterium. RNAcentral's name for it is "partial 16S ribosomal RNA". It matches the Rfam family "Bacterial small subunit ribosomal RNA", at positions 524 to 776 of the family's 1533-position model. The record is from RNAcentral.